Passer domesticus (house sparrow) is the source of this 4659-nucleotide long non-coding RNA. RefSeq lists it as uncharacterized. NCBI's taxonomy places the organism in Eukaryota, Metazoa, Chordata, Aves, Passeriformes, Passeridae. The record is from RefSeq and is a predicted model, not a curated record. The transcript has 4 exons.
UUGCUUCAGAAGGUGUCUGUUUGCUAGUAGAGCUCAGUGCAGUGUAGCAGUGCUGACAUAUUCAUUCCACUGGAGAGAUGCCUGCAGUCAUUCUUGGGAGGUGACUCACUGAAAAACUCCCACAGUCGAGACUAUUUGUCCGUUCUAAAUUAAACAUCUUACAGUAAGAACAGAAAUCCUCCCUUAGGAUCUGCUGGAGGCUCUUACAUGGAAAGAGGACGGGUUGUUCUUGCAGCUGGAGUCCCUUGCCAGAAAGUUCUACCAUCUGAUUGCUUCUUGUGUGUGAAGAGUAAUAGGACAUGGAGACAAUGAAGCUGCUUCUACUGUGUAAGGCAGCAAUUUCCCUUUUCAUACCACCAUGGCUGCUGAACAGCAUGAAAUGUGAAAAGGCUCAGUCUCUGUAAUGAAGUCAAUAUCUCCUCAUCUCUGAAGAAUAAGAGGAAUUUCAACCAAGAGAGCAGACUGGCUUACUUUAUCUUAAUUUCUCAUUUUAGUUUCUACUUUGCAUUUCUCAGCAAGUCCCUGCUUUUUUUUGCAGUCACUGGAGGAUAAAUUAGCUUAAGAUCCUGCUUACUACUACUACUUCAGCAUUUAUACAAUUUCUGAUCAACCUAUACUUGACAUGUAACCUAUACUCCUUCUGAAUUUGUUGUAAAGAUUUUCAUGGGACUCGUGUUCUCCAGACCAGAUCCUGUUUUGUUAUUUCAGUUUGAAACCACAGCACUUGCACUGAAACUUUAACAUUUUAUAUCUCCAUCCACAUCUAUGAAAUCUGUGAUUUACUUGAAGUAUUUUGGAUUUGCACUGGAUAAGUUGAAUAUGACUGUAAAGAAAUUUAUUAUGUAGAUUUACUCCACCAAAUAACCACAAUGGUUAUAAAUCUUUCAAAACUCAGGUUAAAUUAAUUUAUAGCCUGAUGCUGACAUUUUAAGGCAUAAGUUCUGGAAGCUGUUUUCUAAUAGACUGCAGGGUUACUAUUAUGUAGAUUUUGCUCAUUUUUCCUUGUCUGUAAUAGGCAGACUUAAUUUGUGUCUUCUGAAUUUUACAUCAUAAAUGCAAUUGUAUAGAAACUUUGAACAGAGUGGGACCUUCAGCUAAGAGAAAGCAAAGGUUACAUCCAAUGAAAGACAAGGGCAUUCAGAUAGUUUCUACCACUGUCAUUCCUCAAAAGAUAAAAUUAUCUGGUCAAAUAUUUAAACCUGCCUGAAAUGUCCAACAAAACUGUAUUAGAGAAAAUGGCAGUUGACUUCUGAUUAGCUUUGUAAUUUUAUAAAAUUUUGUCCCAUUAAUUCUUCAUAUAAAUGCACUUAGCAAAAGGCUAAGUUAGACUAAUUCAGACAGGCAUAUUUUAAGGUAAUGCUUAUAUUUUAAAAGUUUAUAAUUUUCUCAACAAUGUGAAAAAAGCCUUGGACAUCAUAAUAAACACUAUAAGUCUAAUUAACAGUCUAGGUCACCACAAAUAAUUUCUGCUAAAGACGAUGGGCUGACAGCUCUCUUUGAUGCCAGCCCUCUUUGCUGCCAGCCCUCUGUGAGGAGCAUGUUUUCUGUGUCCCUUGGUCUUAUUCUGGAGACUUCGUCCCCAGGUUUUGACCUAGACCCUGUCAUCAUGCUGUGCUUUUUUUUUUUACUCUAAGGUAUGUCUGUAGCUUUGGGACCAAGGCUGUGCUAUGUAAAGCCUGAUCCUCCAAAGCACAAACACUCUGCCCUUGAUGAGGUACAUGCAUAACAUUUAACUAGCACACCAAUUUUUGUCCCAUAGAUUCUACAUGAAUAAAAUGUAUACAUGCAUGUAACCAUUUUCCUGGAUCCUGCCCACAAUGCUGAGACUUAGAAAGUGUGAACCCAUAUUCUGUCAUUAAUGAAUCACCAUGCAUAUUGUUGAUACAACUUCAGCUGUGACGAACCUCAGCUUCUGGCAUGAGUCACUCAGGAGGGGUCAGAGAGGAUAAUGUGGACUUUGGAAACUUUGUCUCCUGAAAGGACAGACACACUUCACCCCUCCACCUGUACCACAUGGAUCAUUUUUGAGACCACACAUGGGUUUUACACAAGCUGCAGAAGACUCAGAAAAAUGCAGUGGUCAGGGCUGAAAUUCACGCAUCUGUGUCCUGAUGUUGUGUUGAAUGAAGUGGUGUCCUGCUGCCAUUCCCAGAGCUGCCCAGGGUACAGCCAGGCAGUAAAUCUCAACCCACAGUGUGAGAGACAGCCCUUCACUUGGCAUUGGAUCUCAUGGGAAUGAAGGAGUGCUCUUACUGAGGAGAAAAGGUCUGGAUGAUCCUGAGACUGACAUGCGAUAAACACAUGUUUGAAACAUGGUAUUUAUUUGCUUGUUAUUUUAUGGUAGAAAGGCCAAAGAUCUAAGAACACCUUUUUUUUUUUUCAAGUCCAGACAUAAUCUGCAAAUACAACUGAAAAGAUUUGGGCAACCUCAACUUUCCUGUACCUACCAACAAUAACUCCUUCCACUUGCUCUAGGAAAUAUCCCCGAUUGUAGUAAGGUGGCUGGAACUCAAAAUGUUUUCCUAAAGUUUUGCAUCCCUUACAGCUUCUGAUUUUGAGUUGCAGAUGAAAUAUUCUGGUCACACCAAACCCAGGCCAUGUAAGCAUGACAUUUAAAUCCUCAUGUCCUGCUUGAUUUCUCUAUGCUAUUAGAGGUUCCUGUGCUAAACUGAAGGAGUUACAUUACUUUGGCAUUUAGGAUCAAACCAUCAGUCCACAGGCUAUGAAGGGAUUUAUAUGCAAACUUCUGUUUUUGAAUACCUGUGUAUUCCAGGACAAAAUGGGCCCUGAUAUGAAUGAAGGCAAUAAGUACCAUAACUGAAAACUGUCAAGGAGAUGUCCUAGAAAACUGUCAAGGAAGUUCAAAGUUUACCAUUUGCUUGUUAGCAGAAGUUUCUUGAAAGCACAAUAUUUGGAAGAAACCAAAUCCAGAUGUGAAAGUACCAUGCCAGCAUCUCACCUGAGCUCUGGACUGCCAGGGAGCCAAGAAGAUCUCAUUCAACUCUUGUGUUUUCACUGAGCUGCUCUCCUACCUUUCACUGAAGAAGGCUGAGGUCCAGUAAACACAGCUGGGAAUUUUAAAGGAGAUGGCAGAUGGUCAAAGGGAAUUCACAAGGUGGGGGACAUGGCCUGCUAUACAACAGACUGUAAAAAUGGUAACUCUCAUCCACUGCUCUAAACCUCACAGUCAAACAUUUAUUAAUGUCACCUGACACAGUAAUAUCAAGCACAGGCUGCUCCCUGUGGUUAUCUGGUGACAGUGGGACAAGUGACACCAGUGUGGGGGCAUGCCUGUCUAGGCACACAAAUAUUGUAGGAAUGGAAGAGUUUUGAGAUUUCUUUCCUUUUGUGCAAUUUGGCUUUUAAACACAUAAGUUAUGAAGGAGAAUAGAUGAUAAUAUCAUAGUAUAAAUCAGUCUAAAAGAACCAUUGCUAAAUUAGAUGAAAUACAAUGAACAGUAUUGCAAUGCACUGAUAGCCAAUUUGAGAAGGUUUGAUUUCCAGUGAGAACUAUGACACAAAUGUAGACAGAUUUGCAACAAGAAGAACGUAAACUUCAAGUUCUGAAUUUCAGCUUUCCUCUGAACUGGAGGAAGAAACCAUCCACGUAUGCAGCACUUGAUAAAUUACUCCCUUUUGUUUAUUAUUAGCAUUAUUUAAAAAAAAAUCUGGUUUAUGAUUAUUUGUUUUGGAUAGCAGAGUUAUCCCUGAUUAUUGAAGGCCUCCAAAGUGUCUAUCAUUAGCAAACAUUCAUUAGAGGUCAUUCUUCAAAUUCAGAAUGAAUAUUGCUGUUUUCCUUUGCCAAAUGAAGAUACAGCCUUCAGGGCCCCAGUUUCUGCUACAGUCGUCUUCCUUGGUCUGGUGGGGUCAGGGGAGUUAAUUUUUAUACCUAAAUAAAUAAUGUGUGUAUAAUAACAGGUAUUCCUAAAAGGCAUAGGAACAAUUAAACCUAUAUUUGACAUUAUCAACCCACCCUUCUUCCUAAAGCGUGGAAACAAAGGAAGGACUUGCAUGUCCUUUACAUUAUCACUGUCUGUACUGUCACAAUGUUCUCUAGUCCUGAUUUCUGACGAAUAUCAGGUCUCACCAUAUCCUUUCUGCCCAACAGAGGAGCUUUCUACUGUCAGUGGUGCUGUCCCAGUGGUACUUCUGGAUUUUGAGUGUCCCAUUAACAUCAUUCAGUGUCUGGCAUGCUGGACACUGUGGGAACUCAGUACAUCACUCCGGAUGUCCAGAGCUACCGAGACAACCCUUGGGGGGCUCGGAGGUCCCGGAAUGUUGCCAAAAGUACCUGGUGGCUUGACUUUGAUCCUUUUAAAGAAAUGACACCUGAAGGAUAAACGGAUUGCCAUACUGGGGACUCAAUCUUCAUGCAAUAUCCUCAAUGCCUCCUUUUUGCCCCAGUUCUUGUGUAGAUGUUUUAAUUGUCACACAGGAGCCCCUAAAACUUCACAACUGAGAGAAAAGGAUGAAGCUCUGGAAGGAUUGUUAAGAGUUGAGAUCAGCUGAUGACAGCAACUUUUCCCUGGAUUUUCCUAUGGCAUGGAAAUAGAGAUGUAGUGUGAGUAGCUGUCCUUGACAUAUUUUGAAUCCUGCUGGCUUUCAGUACAAAAAGCAAUACUUUGGUGGUAUAAGUAAAAUAAAAUUUGCCAAAAAUUA